GCCACAAUUAGGAGACAACACGAGAAACAUCAUCACUUUUGAGAACAUUAUGCUUGAUUUCUUGUACAUCAAGAAUCCAGUGUCUAUACAUUGUCUAAAUCUACAGAGGCCUGCAAGUGAGUGGGCACAAUGAUGAGCUUCUGAGAAGUUCUGAUUUCAUUUGACUCUCACAAUUACUUCCUUUACUGCAAACCAAUCAACACUGAGAGAUGGAAACUGCAGUUGAGAAAAGAGACCAAGACUUAAAAUAGACUGUCCCGGUGUUGGUACAGAAGAAAAGAGAAACCGAGAUGAGUAAAGAAGAUUUUACAAUGCCAGAAAUUUCAGCAGACAACAAAUCAUCUGACUUUAAAGACACUGAGGAUUUAUAUGAAGAUAUGACUGGAUACCAUAAGAAAACUUCGACUCCAGGAGAAACAACUAGAAGUGUUCAGCAAAUGGCUGAAGAAGAAUCUUUACGAAAGAUGAUACAGCAUGUGGGCAAUACUAAUCCAGAGGAAUCUGUAUGAUCUACCUUGAGAUCACACUUCAUGCAGUGCAGAUACUGUAAAUACACCUGGCCAACGUGUAUCAUUGUUGUGUCUUUACCCUGAGUGUGUCUGCACUUUCAAUACACCAGCUUCCAUCUCUGCUUGGGUUGCAAAUCUCUUGGAUGAGACUGAUCUUUCUACGCCGUCUCCUACUGCUGAUCUUCUCACUGAGGUCAUUACUCAUUAUCUCCAGGACAUGGAGAGUCGUGGUCGGCCCAGUGACAACUCUGCUGCUGGGGGAAUCAAUGUUUCAACCCAGACUGCUACAGUGGCCACCAAGUCUACCCAGACUCCUUCAGCCUCAUCCACAAACACACAAGCUACUCAAACUACGUGGCGUGUUAACAAAAAGACUCAAUAUCCCCCUCCUUUUGCUGUCAAACCAUUUUAUAUUAAGAAGUGACUCUUUUUCCUUUUGAUUUUGUAUCUCCUUAUUAAAACCUUUAUACUCAA
This is a long non-coding RNA of Tachysurus fulvidraco (yellow catfish), 983 nucleotides long. RefSeq lists it as uncharacterized. Lineage: Eukaryota; Metazoa; Chordata; Actinopteri; Siluriformes; Bagridae. The transcript has 4 exons. The record is from RefSeq and is a predicted model, not a curated record.